UACGGAGGGUGCGAGCGUUGUCCGGAAUCACUGGGCGUAAAGGGCGCGUAGGCGGCGCGGUAAGUCUGCUGUGAAAGUCCAGGGCUCAACCCUGGAAUGCCGGUGGAUACUGUCGAGCUCGAGUCCGGAAGAGGCGAGUGGAAUUCCUGGUGUAGCGGUGAAAUGCGCAGAUAUCAGGAGGAACACCAAUGGCGAAGGCAGCUCGCUGGGACGUGACUGACGCUGAGACGCGAAAGCGUGGGGAGCAAACAGG
This 253-nucleotide ribosomal RNA is filed under the name uncultured bacterium. RNAcentral describes it as "partial 16S ribosomal RNA". It matches the Rfam family "Bacterial small subunit ribosomal RNA", at positions 524 to 776 of the family's 1533-position model. The record is from RNAcentral.